This 75-nucleotide transfer RNA is filed under the name Datura stramonium (jimsonweed). Its description in RNAcentral is "tRNA-Arg". It matches the Rfam family "tRNA". Rfam says of the family: Transfer RNA (tRNA) molecules are approximately 80 nucleotides in length. Their secondary structure includes four short double-helical elements and three loops (D, anti-codon, and T loops). Further hydrogen bonds mediate the characteristic L-shaped molecular structure. tRNAs have two regions of fundamental functional importance: the anti-codon, which is responsible for specific mRNA codon recognition, and the 3' end, to which the tRNAs corresponding amino acid is attached (by aminoacyl-tRNA synthetases). tRNAs cope with the degeneracy of the genetic code in two manners: having more than one tRNA (with a specific anti-codon) for a particular amino acid; and 'wobble' base-pairing, i.e. permitting non-standard base-pairing at the 3rd anti-codon position. The record is from RNAcentral. Lineage: Eukaryota; Viridiplantae; Streptophyta; Magnoliopsida; Solanales; Solanaceae.
AGCGUCCAUUGCUCCAAUGGAUAGGACAUAGGUCUUCUAAAACCUUUGGUAUAGGUUCAAAUCCUAUUGACGCAA